GAAAACUCACGCUUUUUUGGCCAUGAUCUCGAACUACAACCUCUGUUCCAAGCCUAAACCAGAUGCGAUUCUAAACCAUGUCCACCACAGCGCCCGAGAACAAAAAGGUGUCCUAGUUGCUGAUACAGUGAUAAAGAAAUUCUGGGCACCCUACUGGCAGGUGUUGCGGACGCGACUUGACGGUGUGUUAACCCUCUGGAUUCUGCUGCAAUAUAAUGACGUCUAAACAUUACUUUUCUAUAUUCGCGCAGGCGAGAUUUUCACUUUACUUCACGUGCUCACACACGUCCCUUUGAAAACCCCUCCCGAGGUUUCCUCUUCACGUGACCCAAAUAGCAGCUGCUUCGGAUCAAGAUAAAGAGAGCCUUCUGCGCUUUAAAACGUCUUCACUUAUUUACGAACUACAUUAGCUAUGAUCCCAUGGUAGAAAUACCAGCACAAUAAGCAUUUCUUACUGCCUUUUAUUAAAACAAAAACCUACUCGUUCAAUGUAUGCUUUGACAGAGUUCCAAGAUUACAGCAUUAACGUUCAUUUGGAAUA
This is a long non-coding RNA of Acipenser ruthenus (sterlet), 541 nucleotides long. RefSeq lists it as uncharacterized. The transcript has 3 exons. NCBI's taxonomy places the organism in Eukaryota, Metazoa, Chordata, Actinopteri, Acipenseriformes, Acipenseridae. The record is from RefSeq and is a predicted model, not a curated record.